This 258-nucleotide ribosomal RNA is filed under the name uncultured Rhizophagus. Its description in RNAcentral is "partial large subunit ribosomal RNA". It matches the Rfam family "Eukaryotic large subunit ribosomal RNA", at positions 359 to 565 of the family's 3401-position model. The record is from RNAcentral. Lineage: Eukaryota; Fungi; Glomeromycota; Glomeromycetes; Glomerales; Glomeraceae.
GAAAGAUGAAAAGAACUUUGAAAAGAGAGUUAAAUAGUACGUGAAAUUGUUGAAAGGGAAACGAUUGAAGCCAGUCGUACAUAUUAUGGGUAAUCAGCCUUUUGGGUGUGAUUUUGUGGAGCGUGAGGAGUUAAACGCCUUCAUGCCUGCAUAUUCGUGCACUUUGGGUGUACUUGCCCGUGUGUAAGUUAACAUCAAUUUUGGUGGUCAUAAAAUGGCUGGAGGAAUGUAGCUUCGAUCUCGUAUUGAAGUGUUAUA